AUACUGGCUUCGGCGGUAUAUAUGCUAAAAUUGGAACGAUACAGGGAGGACUAGCAUGGCCCUGUGCAAGGAUGAAAGGGAAAAUCGUGAUGCGUUUCACAUUUUU
This is a small nuclear RNA of Portunus trituberculatus (swimming crab), 106 nucleotides long. Lineage: Eukaryota; Metazoa; Arthropoda; Malacostraca; Decapoda; Portunidae. The record is from RefSeq and is a predicted model, not a curated record.